Molecule: ribosomal RNA, 336 nt
Filed under: uncultured bacterium
Lineage: Bacteria
Description: bacterial SSU rRNA
Rfam family: Bacterial small subunit ribosomal RNA
Source: RNAcentral
CAGCUCGUGUCGUGAGAUGUUGGGUUAAGUCCCGCAACGAGCGCAACCCUCACCUUCAGUUGCCAUCGGGUCAGGCCGGGCACUCUGAAGGAACUGCCGGUGACAAGCCGGAGGAAGGCGGGGAUGACGUCAAGUCCUCAUGGCCCUUAUGGGCUGGGCUACACACGUGCUACAAUGGCGGUGACAGAGGGACGCGAAGGGGCGACCCUUGGCCAAUCUCCAAAAGCCGUCUCAGUUCGGAUUGUUCUCUGCAACUCGAGAGCAUGAAGCUGGAAUCGCUAGUAAUCGCGGAUCAGCAUGCCGCGGUGAAUACGUUCCCGGGCCUUGUACACACCG